Molecule: ribosomal RNA, 708 nt
Filed under: Enterococcus casseliflavus
Lineage: Bacteria; Bacillati; Bacillota; Bacilli; Lactobacillales; Enterococcaceae
Description: bacterial SSU rRNA
Rfam family: Bacterial small subunit ribosomal RNA
Source: RNAcentral
CGAAAGAGAAAGAAUGGCGAACGGGUGAGUAACACGUGGGUAACCUGCCCAUCAUAAGGGGAUAACACUUGAAAACAGGUGCUAAUACCGUAUAACACUAUUUUCCGCAUGGAAGAAAGUUGAAAGGCGCUUUUGCGUCACUGAUGGAUGGACCCGCGGUGCAUUAGAUAGUUGGUGAGGUAACGGCUCACCAAGGGAACGAUGCAUAGGCGACCUGAGAGGGUGAUCGGCCCCACUGGGACUGAGACACGGCCCAGACUCCUACGGGAGGCAGCAGUAUGGAAUCUUCGGCAAUGGACGAAAGUCUGACCGAGCAACGCCGCGUGAGUGAAGAAGGUUUUCGGAUCGUAAAACUCUGUUGUUAGAGAAGAACAAGGAUGAGAGUAAAAUGUUCAUCCCUUGACGGUAUCUAACCCGAAAGCCACGGCUAACUACUUGCCAGCAGCCGCGGUAAUACGUAGGUGGCAAGCGUUGUCCGGAUUUAUUGGGCGUAAAGCGAGCGCAGGCGGUUUCUUAAGUCUGAUGUGAAAGCCCCCGGCUCAACCGGGGAGGGUCAUUGGAAACUGGGAGACUUGAUUGCAGAAGAGGAGAGUGGAAUUCCAUGUGUAGCGGUGAAAUGCGUACAUAUAUGGAGGAACACCAGUGGCGAAAGCAGCUCUCUGGUCUGUAACUGACGCUGAGGCUCAAAAGCAUGAGGAGCGAACGGGA